This 645-nucleotide non-coding RNA is filed under the name Schistosoma mattheei. RNAcentral's name for it is "Eukaryotic small subunit ribosomal RNA". It matches the Rfam family "Eukaryotic small subunit ribosomal RNA", at positions 359 to 857 of the family's 1831-position model. Lineage: Eukaryota; Metazoa; Platyhelminthes; Trematoda; Strigeidida; Schistosomatidae. The record is from Rfam by way of RNAcentral.
CUAAAUGUGGUCGCACAUAAAUCGGGUAUGAUAAUCCAAACAUUUCAUCAUCUAAAUACCUGAGAGGGAGCCUGAGAAAUGGCUACCACAUCCAAGGACGGCAGCAGGCGCGAAAAUUACUCACUCCCGGCACGGGGAGGUAGUGACGAAAAAUACAAAUACGGGACUCAGUUGAGGCUCCGUAAUUCGAAUGAGUGCAAUCUAAAUCCUUUAACGAGGACCAAUUGGAGGGAAAGUCUGGUGCCAGCAGCCGCGGUAACUCCAGCUUCAAAAGCGUAUAUUAAAGUUGCUGCAGUUAGAAAGCUCGUAGUUGGGUCUGGGUUGUGCUGUCGCAUGCCGCUGCUUGUUCACGGUUUUGGUUAAUAUCAGGACGUGUUCAGCUCGGUGUAGUGGCUGUGCAGCCUUUCAGCCGUGUCUGUGUUAAACGGGUGCUGGUGGGUUGACGAGUUCGUCUUAUUGACCUGUCGGCAUGCUUCCGGAUGCCUUUAAACGGGUGUCGGGAGCGGACGGCAUCUUUGAACAAAUUUGAGUGCUUAAAGCAGGCCUGUGCGCCUGAAAUUCUUCUCUCUCUGAUUUCAGAUUCUGGUUUGUGUAGUUAGGACAGAAGGUCUACGGCCAUUUUAUUCCUUUUCUAGUAUGCUUCUG